RNAcentral lists this ribosomal RNA (588 nucleotides) under uncultured bacterium. Its description in RNAcentral is "bacterial SSU rRNA". It matches the Rfam family "Bacterial small subunit ribosomal RNA", at positions 338 to 916 of the family's 1533-position model. The record is from RNAcentral.
CCUACGGGAGGCAGCAGUGGGGAAUUUUGGGCAAUGGGCGCAAGCCUGACCCAGCAACGCCGCGUGAAGGAUGAAAUCCCUCUGGGAUGUAAACUUCGAAAGUCGGGAAAGAAAUCGCCAUGGAUAACACCCGUGGUGGAUGACGGUACCCGACGUAAGCCCCGGCUAACUACGUGCCAGCAGCCGCGGUAAUACGUAGGGGGCAAGCGUUGUUCGGAAUUACUGGGCGUAAAGGGCGCGUAGGCGGCAUGGCAAGUCGGGAGUGAAAGCCCGGGGCUCAACCCCGGAACUGCUUUCGAAACUGCCAAGCUAGAGUACGGAAGGGGCAACUGGAAUUCCCAGUGUAGCGGUGAAAUGCGUAGAUAUUGGGAAGAACACCGGAGGCGAAGGCGGGUUGCUGGGCCGAUACUGACGCUGAGGCGCGAAAGCCAGGGGAGCAAACGGGAUUAGAUACCCCGGUAGUCCUGGCCCUAAACGAUGGAUACUUGGUGUGUGGGGUUCUCAAAGUCCCCGCGUGCCGGAGCUAACGCGUUAAGUAUCCCGCCUGGGGAGUACGGUCGCAAGGCUUAAACUCAAAGGAAUUGACGG